Molecule: small nucleolar RNA, 83 nt
Organism: Lathyrus oleraceus (garden pea)
Lineage: Eukaryota; Viridiplantae; Streptophyta; Magnoliopsida; Fabales; Fabaceae
Product: small nucleolar RNA snoR116
Exons: 1
Source: RefSeq, a predicted model, not a curated record
UGGCAGUGAUGAUGAAUUAUGUAUACCAUCAAACUUUGAAAGCUAAGUAAAGCUUGUUGAUGCCAACCAUACAAUCUGAGCCU